AACUUCCGACGGUGCAAUGUCGACAACUAGAAACCCCGCAUGCGCCAAAUUCGAUCCUACAGUCAGACCAUGUCGAGACGCUUCAGUGUGCAGCAAACCGCAUAUGAAGGAAGUGCUGUGUCCUGAUCCUGACCAGGCUCACUACUGUCCAGUCACAUGCGGAUGUUGCGUGCCCGAAACGGCUGAAAUGAUUGGAUAGAUUGCAUUAUGUUACCCUGUGACGCUGACAUCGCAAUAAAUCAUUAUCAGAAAAUGCUAAUAAACAUACCUGCUGAAAUAUCACAGUUUUAGCGCAAAACACUG
Dreissena polymorpha is the source of this 303-nucleotide long non-coding RNA. RefSeq lists it as uncharacterized. The record is from RefSeq and is a predicted model, not a curated record. Lineage: Eukaryota; Metazoa; Mollusca; Bivalvia; Myida; Dreissenidae. The transcript is spliced from 2 exons.